Molecule: ribosomal RNA, 450 nt
Filed under: uncultured bacterium
Lineage: Bacteria
Description: partial 16S ribosomal RNA
Rfam family: Bacterial small subunit ribosomal RNA
Source: RNAcentral
GUGGGGAAUUUUGGACAAUGGGCGAAAGCCUGAUCCAGCCAUGCCGCGUGCAGGAUGAAGGCCUUCGGGUUGUAAACUGCUUUUGUACGGAACGAAAAGACUCUGGUUAAUACCUGGGGUCCAUGACGGUACCGUAAGAAUAAGCACCGGCUAACUACGUGCCAGCAGCCGCGGUAAUCCGUAGGGUGCAAGCGUUAAUCGGAAUUACUGGGCGUAAAGCGUGCGCAGGCGGUUAUAUAAGACAGAUGUGAAAGCCCCGGGCUCAACCUGGGAACUGCAUUUGUGACUGUAUAGCUAGAGUACGGCAGAGGGGGAUAGAAUUCCGCGUGUAGCAGUGAAAUGCGUAGAUAUGCGUAGGAACACCGAUGGCGAAGGCAAUCCCCUGGGCCUGUACUGACGCUCAUGCACGAAAGCGUGGGGAGCAAACAGGAUUAGAAACCCCUGUAGUCC